Molecule: long non-coding RNA, 100 nt
Organism: Haliotis rubra (blacklip abalone)
Lineage: Eukaryota; Metazoa; Mollusca; Gastropoda; Lepetellida; Haliotidae
Exons: 3
Source: RefSeq, a predicted model, not a curated record
GCCCAUUCUCUUGAAGGCGAAAUACAAUACGAUGAAGUGCUUUCAGCAUUGAAAAAUAUGAAAAAUGAAAAAAGCCCUUGUCUUGAAACUAUCAAUUCUA